This 442-nucleotide ribosomal RNA is filed under the name uncultured bacterium. RNAcentral describes it as "partial 16S ribosomal RNA". It matches the Rfam family "Bacterial small subunit ribosomal RNA", at positions 338 to 795 of the family's 1533-position model. The record is from RNAcentral.
CCUACGGGUGGCAGCAGUGGGGAAUAUUGGGCAAUGGGCGAAAGCCUGACCCAGCCACGCCGCGUGAAGGAAGAAGGCUCUCGGGUUGUAAACUUCUUUUGACAGGGAAGAGCAGAAGACGGUACCUGUCGAAUAAGCCACGGCUAACUACGUGCCAGCAGCUGCGGUAAUACGUAGGUGGCAAGUGUUGUCCGGAUUUACUGGGUGGAACGGGUGUGUAGCCGGGCUGACAAGUCAGUUGUGAAAUCCGGGGGCUCAACCCCCGAACUGCAUUUGAAACUGUUGGUCUUGAGUAUCGGAGAGGCAGGCGGAAUUCCUAGUGUAGCGGUGAAAUGCGUAGAUAUUAGGAGGAACACCAGUGGCGAAGGCAGCCUGCUGGACGACAACUGACGGUGAGGCGCGAAAGCGUGGGGAGCAAACAGGAUUAGAUACCCGGGUAGUC